UUUAGGACCCGUUUGUUUGACCGGAUUAGGGGGGACUGGAUUGGACUAGAUUGUAGUCCCUUGUUUGUUCUGCACCAGGAUUAGGUUUAAUGGGAUUAAAUGGGACUCGCUCGGAUUAAGGGGUUCGCUAGGAGUUCUUAGCCGAGAACCCCAAAUUCGGCCGGACUCGCAAGACCUUCCGCGAGAGAAAACCUCGCUCAUCCUGCGAGAGAGAGAGUUGUCACCAUCGCUCCCUGCUUGCCUUGCUCCCUCAUCCUCGUCCUCUUCACCCUCAUCUCUGCGUCUUGCUUGCCUUCAUCUGCAUCUUGCUCGCCCUUAUCUGCUCUUCUUGCCUGAUCCUGCUCGCCCUGCUCCUCCACCUUCUUCUCAGGCGACCUCUCAGGAACACUCCAACCAAAUCGCCCCUCCUCCUCCCCUGUUCGAUCCCAGUCAAAAGAAGAGGAGCAUAAACAGAAGGCUAAGGCUAAGGCUACUGCAU
Long non-coding RNA from Malus domestica (apple), 478 nucleotides. RefSeq lists it as uncharacterized. Lineage: Eukaryota; Viridiplantae; Streptophyta; Magnoliopsida; Rosales; Rosaceae. The record is from RefSeq and is a predicted model, not a curated record.